UACGAACUGUGCGAACGUUAUUCGGAAUCACUGGGCUUAAAGGGUGCGUAGGCGGUUUGUUAAGUCAGGUGUGAAAUCUCCCGGCUCAACCGGGAAACAGCGCUUGAAACUAGCAGACUGGAGUGAGGUAAGGGUGUGCGGAACUUCCAGUGGAGCGGUGAAAUGUGUAGAUAUUGGAAGGAACGCCGGUGGCGAAAGCGGCACACUGGGCCUUGUCUGACGCUGAGGCACGAAAGCCAGGGGAGUGAACGCG
This 253-nucleotide ribosomal RNA is filed under the name uncultured bacterium. RNAcentral describes it as "partial 16S ribosomal RNA". It matches the Rfam family "Bacterial small subunit ribosomal RNA", at positions 524 to 776 of the family's 1533-position model. The record is from RNAcentral.